RNAcentral lists this ribosomal RNA (254 nucleotides) under uncultured bacterium. RNAcentral describes it as "partial 16S ribosomal RNA". It matches the Rfam family "Bacterial small subunit ribosomal RNA", at positions 524 to 776 of the family's 1533-position model. The record is from RNAcentral.
UACGUAGGGUGCAAGCGUUGUCCGGAAUUAUUGGGCGUAAAGAGCUCGUAGGCGGUUUGUCGCGUCUGCUGUGAAAACCCGAGGCUCAACCUCGGGCCUGCAGUGGGUACGGGCAGACUAGAGUGGCGGUAGGGGAGAUUGGAAUUCCUGGUGUAGCGGUGGAAUGCGCAGAUAUCAGGAGGAACACCAAUGGCGAAGGCAGAUCUCUGGGCCGUAACUGACGCUGAGGAGCGAAAGCAUGGGGAGCGAACAGG